GGGCCCGCACAAGCGGUGGAGCAUGUGGUUUAAUUCGAUGCAACGCGAAAAACCUUACCUACUCUUGACAUACUUGGGAGCUCUUGUAAUGAGAGUGUGCCUUAUGGAACCAAGAUACAGGUGCUGCAUGGCUGUCGUCAGCUCGUGUCGUGAGAUGUUCCGUUAAGUCGGAUAACGAGCGCAACCCUUACCCUUAUUUGCCAGCGAUUCGGUCGGGAACUAUAAGGGGACUGCCGGUGAUAAACCGGAGGAAGGUGAGGACGACGUCAAGUCAUCAUGGCCCUUAUGAACUGGCUACACACGUGUUACAAUGGUAAGAACAAUGAGAAGCGAUCUUGUAAAAGUGAGC
This 349-nucleotide ribosomal RNA is filed under the name uncultured bacterium. RNAcentral's name for it is "bacterial SSU rRNA". It matches the Rfam family "Bacterial small subunit ribosomal RNA", at positions 917 to 1268 of the family's 1533-position model. The record is from RNAcentral.